GCUCCGUUCCCGUAGUGGCAGCGGCCCUGGUUCUCAGCCAGGAGGCGGGAGUUCAAUUCUCCCACGGAGUA
This 71-nucleotide transfer RNA is filed under the name Rhodocyclaceae bacterium. RNAcentral's name for it is "tRNA-Glu". It matches the Rfam family "tRNA". From Rfam's summary of the family: Transfer RNA (tRNA) molecules are approximately 80 nucleotides in length. Their secondary structure includes four short double-helical elements and three loops (D, anti-codon, and T loops). Lineage: Bacteria; Pseudomonadati; Pseudomonadota; Betaproteobacteria; Rhodocyclales; Rhodocyclaceae. The record is from RNAcentral.